Otolemur garnettii (small-eared galago) is the source of this 103-nucleotide small nuclear RNA. The record is from Ensembl. NCBI's taxonomy places the organism in Eukaryota, Metazoa, Chordata, Mammalia, Primates, Galagidae.
GUGUUCACUUUGGCAGCACAUAUAGAAAAUUGGAACACAGAGAAGAUUAGCAUGACCUCUGUGCAAGGGUAACAAGCAAAUUCAUGAAGCAUUCCAUAUUUUU